AUCUAUGGUCAUACCAGCCUGAACGCGCCCGCUCUCAUCUAAUCUUGGAAGCUAAGCAGGGUCGGGUCUGGGUAGUACUUGGAUGGGAGAAGUGAAUGCUUAGACCAUUUUUGAGG
Molecule: ribosomal RNA, 116 nt
Filed under: Prolemur simus (greater bamboo lemur)
Lineage: Eukaryota; Metazoa; Chordata; Mammalia; Primates; Lemuridae
Source: RNAcentral